UUGAGUUUUUUGUUUUGGCAUCUACUGGAACUAUGGCAUCCCGCAGAUGAUAUUGAGGAGGCACCAGAUGUUACAUUUUCAGAGAACUGUGAUGAAGAGAUGUUGCAGAAAUCCUAACUAUUGAAGUGCAAAAUUUUAGUGAUGGUCUUUCAUUAGCUUCCCAGAUCACGAAAUAGGUAGUAACACACAUGUACCUGAUAUUAGAGCCUAACAUAACAAAUGAGGUAGUCCAGAAAGAAAAAUUGUGAACUCACUUCAAGCAUUCAACUUUACUUGAGUACAUGAGUGCAUGAACUUUCUGAAAAGUUGAAUGUAGACAGAUCCUUGUACUGUUUUAUAAAACCUGCAAGGAAUCUUCAUCAGAAAAAGAAGAAUUGUUGUUGCAAAAUAUUGUUAAGAACUUAGCCUCAAUGCUUCAUCUUAGAUGAUGAACCUGUAAAAACUUAGCCUCAAUUGUUAAGAACCUA
This 467-nucleotide small RNA is filed under the name Vigna angularis var. angularis. Its description in RNAcentral is "Non-protein coding transcript". Lineage: Eukaryota; Viridiplantae; Streptophyta; Magnoliopsida; Fabales; Fabaceae. The record is from RNAcentral.